AGUGAACGCUGGCGGUAGGCCUAACACAUGCAAGUCGAACGGCAGCACAGUAAGAGCUUGCUCUUACGGGUGGCGAGUGGCGGACGGGUGAGGAAUACAUCGGAAUCUACUUUUUCGUGGGGGAUAACGUAGGGAAACUUACGCUAAUACCGCAUACGACCUACGGGUGAAAGCAGGGGAUCUUCGGACCUUGCGCGAUUGAAUGAGCCGAUGUCGGAUUAGCUGGUUGGCGGGGUAAAGGCCCACCAAGGCGACGAUCCGUAGCUGGUCUGGGAGGAUGAUCAGCCACACUGGAACUGAGACACGGUCCAGACUCCUACGGGAGGCAGCAGUGGGGAAUAUUGGACAAUGGGCGCAAGCCUGAUCCAGCCAUACCGCGUGGGUGAAGAAGGCCUUCGGGUUGUAAAGCCCUUUUGUUGGGAAAGAAAAGCAGCAGGUUAAUACCCCGCUGUUCUGACGGUACCCAAAGAAUAAGCACCGGCUAACUUCGUG
This 492-nucleotide ribosomal RNA is filed under the name uncultured bacterium. Its description in RNAcentral is "partial 16S ribosomal RNA". It matches the Rfam family "Bacterial small subunit ribosomal RNA", at positions 29 to 507 of the family's 1533-position model. The record is from RNAcentral.